AGCGAACGCUGGCGGCGUGCCUAACACAUGCAAGUCGAACGUGAAAAGGGAAACCUGAGUAAAUUGGCGUACGGGUGAGUAACGCGUAGGUAAUCUACCCCAGAAUCUGGAAUAACCUGCCGAAAGGCGGGCUAAUACUGGAUAGAGCGUGGGAACUCGUAAGAGAGUUUUUCGGGAAAGGGAGCCCGCAAGGGCCUUCGUUAUGGGCUGCGCCUGCGUCUCAUUAGCUAGUUGGUAAGGUAACGGCUUACCAAGGCGAUGAUGAGUGGCUGGUCUGAGAGGAUGGUCAGCCACACUGGAACUGAAACACGGUCCAUACUCAUAGGGGAGGCAGCAGUGGUGAAUCGUGCGCAAGGAACGAAAGUCUUACGCAGCCACGCCGCGUGAGUGAAGAAGGCCUUCGGGUUGUAAAGCUCUGUCGGAUGGGACGAACAUCUUCAUAGUGAAUAGCUAGGAGGACUGACGGUACCAGCAAAGGAAGCACCGGCUAACUCCGUG
RNAcentral lists this ribosomal RNA (498 nucleotides) under uncultured bacterium. RNAcentral's name for it is "partial 16S ribosomal RNA". It matches the Rfam family "Bacterial small subunit ribosomal RNA", at positions 29 to 507 of the family's 1533-position model. The record is from RNAcentral.